Molecule: long non-coding RNA, 828 nt
Filed under: Mytilus galloprovincialis (Mediterranean mussel)
Lineage: Eukaryota; Metazoa; Mollusca; Bivalvia; Mytilida; Mytilidae
Source: RNAcentral
AAAACAAUUGGUAACGUGCUUCUUUAUUUUGUCUAUUGUUGAAGACUGAAUAUAGCUCCUAGAUUUCGUUUGUUGUUUGGUUGCUUACUUAUUGCCAUACAUUUACAUGCAUGUAAUUUAUUAUUAUGAAUAGGAAUGACAUACUAUUAUGUGGAUCAAUAGAUUAACUUUUUAUCAAGAUAAACAUUAAUAUGCAUGUUUUCUGGUUGAAGAAAUGUAUAUGAAUAGUAUGUAUAAUGUUUGAAAAUAUAGUUGUCAUAAGAACCCUACAAAAACAGGGGUGGAUCCAGCCAUUUUAAAAAGGGGGGGUUCCCAACCCAGAGUCAAGGGGGGGUUCCAGCUAUAUGCUCCCAUUCAAAUGCAUUGAUCGGCCAAAAAAAAGGGGGGUUCCAACCCCCGGAACCCCCCUCUGGAUCCGCGCCUGAAAAACAUGUUUAUGUAUAAGUGUAAAUCAAGCCCAUUAAUUUAUCAUUUAUUGAUAUUGAACAUGGAUUAAAGACGACCACAAUCAACAUCAAUCGGACGUCGUUUUGGGCAAUACAUUACGUUCGAUUAGAGUAUAAAAAUAUUGGACGUCGAUUUGAGAAUGUGACGUCAGAUUUGGACGUCGAUUUGAGAAACGGACGUCGAUUUGAGGAACGGACGUCGAUUAGAGACCGGACGUCGAUCUGAGUCUAACAUAUAUAUUUCAGCUUAAUAAAAAUAUUUUCAUAAUGGUACUUUGUCAUCAUUUUUAAAACUAAGUUCCAAACAUUAUUGCUCAGUUGAUAUACAUGUAUGUCCUUCUGAUGCGGUACGAGCACAGGCACUUGUUUCUAUCCAAAAUAG